AAACUCAAGACAAGGGGCUCGGGCAAGGGCCACAGUCACCGCGAACUGAACUCAUAAAGGCGCCUCGUUUCUUUUCCUCUAUCAGCUCACUCCUGGGACUCCUCUUCCUCCUCAGACCUCAAUACAGAGGUGCUCUUCCAGGCCAGCCCUUGCUCCUGGCUUCCCUCCCUCCUUCCCUGAGCUCCCUGGUCCAGAGCCAAGGCCAGCCAGCCUGUGCGGCGCUCUCCCGUGUUCUGGGAAGGGCAUCCCUCUGGGCAAAUGCAACCUGCAGGCCUAGGGCUGGGCAAGCUGACUGCCAUGCCUUUUGUGCAAAGGAAAAGGAGCCCCUUGCUUCAGACAGGGCAGCACACAGCUUGUAUGUUUAGCUCCACUUGAAAGCCAGGUGCUUUGGGCAGUGCACCAACCGUACCACUGUACGCGGCAGCCCUGCUUCGGAUCCCCAAUCCAGUGGCCUUGAAUAUUCAGUGGUGUGAUCUCUUGCUAGCCAUGCAGUUAUGUUCCUGAUAAACAGCCAGGCCGCUAAACUGCAGCUGGAAAGACAAAGUCACAAUGAGAACCGAAUGGCGUGGAAUGAACGUCGCUCAAGCCACGUGUGUGUUAAGAAGCCGCCCCUCUCAGCUCCUGCCCCCUUCUCUCUGCCUUCUUUUCCUGCGACACGUGGGGCCGUCGGGUUCAGACUGGAGGCUCCUGAGUUGGAAGCUGGCCCGCCGGCCAUGGGCCUCCCUGGUGAUUUCGGGCGAAUGGCUUAACUGCAACAUCCAGUUUAGGGUCCUUGGCGCACAGUGACAUUGUCCUUUGAUUGGUCUCGAAGGGAAAAUACCUACAAACAUAAGGAGCACGUGCAAGGAAUGUGUGUGUCUCUUGCCAAAAAUUUCAACAAUGGAGAAAUGCAGAAAAGUGAAAAAA
This 906-nucleotide long non-coding RNA is filed under the name Sus scrofa (pig). RNAcentral describes it as "lncRNA (ENSSSCG00035051052.1)". Lineage: Eukaryota; Metazoa; Chordata; Mammalia; Artiodactyla; Suidae. The record is from RNAcentral.